GAGGUGUCACUGUGAGCUGUGUGGCUGCCUUAAGAGAUAUCUGUUGUAGCUUAUUACUUGGUUGCCUUUCCCCACAUGUACAAUGACAAAAAUGCCUUCAACCUAUUUGAUCCAGCCGUUCCAGUACAACUCCUAUACUUGCCAUCUUUCCAAGCCCAAAGCUAUAGUUCCUCAUGGUCCUGCACUCCAUGGACUAAAUUAUGAUGAAACUGAAACACAAAAAAUUUAGAUUAGCUCUUAGGUGACAAAGCCAGGAUUGAAGCUCAUGCGGUCUGGCUCCAGAACAACUCUUCUUCAUAGUUACAUUAUACUGCCCCUGCAUUGUUGGUAUUGAAAAUAACUGAUACCGUGCUUCCAGAAGAUUUUUCUAACAGUGUUUGCAGGCUAUAAAAUAGUGCUUUCACUUAGAAAAGGCCAGACAUGGUGGUUCAUGCCUGUAAUCCCUAGCACUUUGAGAGGCCAAGGCACCAUGCCGGGAGAUAAGGAUCCAACAUAAGACAAACAGGGCUGAUGCUUUUGGAAAGCUCAUAUUCAAGCUGGGGAGACAAACAACAUACAAAAACUCACUCUGUCUCCCAGGCUGGAGUGCAAUGGCAC
This 597-nucleotide long non-coding RNA is filed under the name Pongo abelii (Sumatran orangutan). RNAcentral's name for it is "lincRNA". Lineage: Eukaryota; Metazoa; Chordata; Mammalia; Primates; Hominidae. The record is from RNAcentral.